CUGUGAAGUGCUAAAACGCUCCUCUCUCUGCUUUAUUGGAGGCUGGAGACCAAAACCAGUUGGAAAUUCAAAAUGAAAACUUCUCCCUCAUUGAAUUGGUCGUCCCCUGGGGUGACUGCACACCCUGGGUGUGUACACACACCCCGGGGCUCCCAGAGAGCCACCAGUGGCUUCAGUGACAGAGACGGGUGGAGAAGGAUCUGGUGUUGAGAGGUUUGGUCUGGUGGAGUUUCUUUUAUUACAAAGAACUGAAACUCUCAUCUGGAACAGGAUGUCCUGACAGGUAGAGCAAUGUGUGCUACAAACUUGGAGCUGGUGUUUGCUGAAUGCUGAGAUGGCUCAGCGUGGAUGUGUUAUCAGCACGCCCUUGCUCAGAGUUGGAGACUGUAGGAAUGGUCACUCUAUUCUCACUGAACCCUUGGCAUGUGUCUUAUUUUUUGCUGUCAGUCUUGCUUCUGUUUGCUCUGGAUGAGCCCUGUACCUACUGUUUUUCAGAGAAGUCACCGUGUCCUGGUGAACUGGAGCAGAAUCCUGCUGCAGUGAGUUGCAAGGUGGAGUACACAGCACAGUUCUCCUCUGGCUGGUCUUUGUCCCUGAAGCCCACAUUGAUGGGAGCAUCCAGGAGAUAAGAAAAUGAUUUGCCCUGUGCAGGCUAGUGUUGAAGGGCUCAGAGGAAGCAGCCAGUGCCCAGGAGAGCAGAAAGGAUGGAGGUAGUGACAUCCUGCACUUUGGAGCUGCCCUGGGGAACAGCGAGCUGUGGAUCUGCUGGACCUGCAGCCCCUCCGAGGAUACUGAGCUGAGAGCCUGUGGAUUGGAGCACUGAACUCUACACCCAGAAACCUGAUCAUGAGUGAUCAGCCCAAGAGUGCUGUGAACUCAGGAAUUCCUCCAUGUGGAUGCUGAAGGACAAACUGUCUCUAAGCAGGUGAGUUGUGGAGUCUGAUGCCUGUUUUUACUCAUUUUUUGCAAAGUUGCAUCUGAGGGCACGUCUUGCUUAUAAACAGCUCGCUGCUGUCACCAAGUGGAAAAAGCAAAUCCCAGAAAAUCGCACGUGAGCCAGGCUGGAACUCACCAGAGCCCACCAGGGCACCAUUACCUUUCUGUGUGAUAAGGUCACCACUUUGGAUUUGCAGCAUCCCACUGGCUGCUGUGACAGCAAGCACAGCAGGCUGGCAAAUUCAUGGAUUUUUGUUUUUUUAAUUAAUUGCUAAAAGUGGAACUUUUCAGAAGUCCUGAUAAAACUUCCCUGGAGAACGUUUUCCAAAUCCAGGAGGGACUUUCUUGUCAGGCCCAGAGAGAAUGAGAGACAGCCAGAUAAAAAGGGCACGAACCCGCAGUGUGAGCAACAAAGACCAAACUCCCGGCCCAUCUCACUCAAGACAAGAUGCAUGAACUCAGCAUCCUGUGAUAAACAGCAGCAGUCAGCCGAUAGUGAUUUAUUAUGUGGAAAGCCAGAGCUUUAUCGGUGUCCCUAUCCCGGCUCCUUUUAAGUCUCCAGCAGAAAUCCCAGCAAGAUAAGAACUGGCUGGGUUUGUAUCUACACAAGGGGGAGUUUGCUGAGAGAUUCCCUGGAGAUGCUGAGUGAAAUGCCUCUCACCUGUCUUGGACACACACCUCUGUCAGCAGCGGUGCAGCACAUUCCAGUGGUAUCUGUCUCCUGCCACUGACUGCAGAGAAAGCCUCAGCGUGUGACACAUAGCUGGAGACAAGCAAAAAGUGACCAUCACUGCAGGGGAACUGCUGCAAGAGAGGGAGCUGCUGUAAGAGGUCUGCUCUGGGCACCCAAAGUCACCUUUGCAGCCCCUUACACCCAGGGCCAGGACAGAAAUGGGUGGGAAGCUGACAAAACUCCCUGCACACACCAUGGCUCUUCAGCAGGGUGGAUCAAGCUGAGAGCAGAGAUUGGUGGAGCUGCACAGAGUGCUGAGAAACCCAAAACUUCUGUCCCCCAGAAGCCAGCAGAGCCAUGAGAUAAAGGGGCUUUUGCAAAGCACUUUGCAGAGUAGGUGAAUCCAUCAUCUCUUCAUUCUGCAGGUGGGGGAAACGAGGCAGGACUUAAAGAAACGACUUGCCAGUGGUUACCUGGCAGAGAAAUGCAUCCAGGUGCCUGCUCAGCACUGGGCCAAGUCACUGCCUUUAUCCCAGCUACUUCCAGCCUUGGGGCUGUGAUGGAGAAAUGCUUAUUGUGCUCAUAGUUUUAAAAAGACUUGGACAAAAGCCAGAUUUUAAUUUUUGAUGGUUUUCCUGGAGAGAAAAAUACCAAUAAAAUUCAAAAAAAAGGCCAAAACAAAGCCAUUGGCUGUUGAAAUCCAAAUGUUUUAAGUUUACUCCCUUUAAACCUCUUUAGAAGUACAUGAAAUGGGAAAAGAAAUUGGCUUUCUUAUGAUCCAAUAAGUCAUAGAAUCAUUAAGGUUGGAAAAGACCUCCAAACUGAUCGAAUCAUAAAAUGGUCCAACAGGAUCCAGUGUCUUGGGGAUGAAACUGGACAGUGGCACCCAUUUCCAAAGUAAGGGCAGUAACAACAACAUCCCCUUAGCAGCUCCGGGGUGGCUUUUCCACUGCCAAAGGCCAGGGAACGAGGGGCUGUGUAGCCAAAGGAGGAGCUGCUGUGGAGAUGUGCAGGGUGUGUAACAGCUGGUGCUUAGAGAGGCUGUUUGGUCUGUGCUGUGAGAAAUGCCAAAUUACACAAUUAAAUCAGUCCCAGUUGGUUUUAAGCCUUAUGGAUCUGUAUUCCCGAGGGUGGACUGAUGGAUUUACUGCUGUCUCACCAGUGCUCAUUACAGGAGUGUUUUGUUCCAAGAUGCUGGAGCAGAGGGGCUGUAAAUCGCACCCCCAUCAGCCCCAGCAGAAGAGGAUCUGAUGCUGUGGAGGGUCCAAAGGGAACAGUGUGGAUGAAGCAGAGGUUUCCCACUGGCUCUGCAGCCUCAGGGGGCUUUGAAAUGAGGAUUUGAGAAGCACUGGGACUUAAGUGAGCCUUCAGCAAUCCCAGGGACAGGGCAGAGCACUCUUCUCCUCUUCUCUUCUCUUCUCUUUUCUCUUCUCUUCUCUUCUCUUC
Corvus hawaiiensis (hawaiian crow) is the source of this 3055-nucleotide long non-coding RNA. RefSeq lists it as uncharacterized. Lineage: Eukaryota; Metazoa; Chordata; Aves; Passeriformes; Corvidae. The record is from RefSeq and is a predicted model, not a curated record. The transcript has 7 exons.